RNAcentral lists this ribosomal RNA (404 nucleotides) under uncultured prokaryote. RNAcentral describes it as "bacterial SSU rRNA". It matches the Rfam family "Bacterial small subunit ribosomal RNA", at positions 355 to 776 of the family's 1533-position model. RNAcentral also lists the same sequence under 1 other name. The record is from RNAcentral.
UGGGGAAUAUUGGGCAAUGGGCGAAAGCCUGACCCAGCAACGCCGCGUGAAGGAAGAAGGUCUUCGGAUCGUAAACUUCUAUCCCCGGUGAAGAUAAUGACGGUAACCGGGAAGGAAGCCCCGGCUAACUACGUGCCAGCAGCCGCGGUAAUACGUAGGGGGCAAGCGUUGUCCGGAAUGAUUGGGCGUAAAGGGCGCGUAGGCGGCUCGGUAAGUCUGGAGUGAAAUUCCUGCUUUCAAGGUGGGAACUGCUUUGGAUACUGUCGGGCUUGAGUGCAGGAGAGGUAAGUGGAAUUCGCGGGGUAGCGGUGAAAUGCGUAGAGAUCGGGAGGAACACGAGCGGCGAAGGCGGUCUGCUGGGCUUUAACUGACGCUGAGGCUCGAAAGCAUGGGUAGCAAACAGG